Molecule: ribosomal RNA, 49 nt
Filed under: Aspergillus tubingensis
Lineage: Eukaryota; Fungi; Ascomycota; Eurotiomycetes; Eurotiales; Aspergillaceae
Also listed under: 37 other names
Description: partial 28S ribosomal RNA
Source: RNAcentral
GUUGACCUCGGAUCAGGUAGGGAUACCCGCUGAACUUAAGCAUAUCAAU